UACGGAGGGUGCAAGCGUUGUUCGGAAUCACUGGGCGUAAAGGGCGUGUAGGUGGCUCAUUAAGUCAGGUGUGAAAUCCUUCCGCUUAACGGAAGAAGUGCACUUGAAACUGAUGGGCUUGAGUACGGGAGAGGAAGGUGGAAUUCCUGGUGUAGAGGUGAAAUUCAUAGAUAUCGGGAAGAACACCGGUGGCGAAGGCGGCCUUCUGGCCCGAUACUGACACUGAGACGCGAAAGCGUGGGGAGCAAACAGG
Molecule: ribosomal RNA, 253 nt
Filed under: uncultured bacterium
Lineage: Bacteria
Description: partial 16S ribosomal RNA
Rfam family: Bacterial small subunit ribosomal RNA
Source: RNAcentral